This 1363-nucleotide long non-coding RNA is filed under the name Mytilus galloprovincialis (Mediterranean mussel). The record is from RNAcentral. Lineage: Eukaryota; Metazoa; Mollusca; Bivalvia; Mytilida; Mytilidae.
GUAAAGAAAAGUAAUUUUGUUUUAAUUAAUGAAUAGAUAGGACAUAAAUGCUUUGUAAGAAACUUUUGAGAUUAAUAAGUUACAUUAGACAAUAAUAAUGAACAAAGAUAAUUAAAUGAGUAAAUUAUAAGGUGAAGUUCAAAUUCCUUUUACUUAAUGGGCAAACAUUGAUUUGCAAAAUCCUUUUGUAUAAGUGAAUACUGAGCAGAGGUUAAAAAAAAAAGCCAUACAAAAAAAAAGGAAUGAUUGAAAAUAUAAGUAAAUAAAAAAAUAAAUAAAAUGAAUAAAUGUGUUGCGAACAAAGAAAAACAAGGAAGGCAAAUAAUUGUUACAGUAAUGGUCGUUGAUAAAUAAUGAAAGUACAAAGCUAGAUUCGUACAUGAAAAUAUAAAUGCAACAUUGAAGAAUUGAAAAUGUAAUAUUAUUUGGAAGUUAAAGUUCAGGAGGUUAAUAUUCAUUAAACUGUGAAGGAUUAAAAGAAAUGCCUCUGUUUAGAUGAGAACCAUAAAAUAAUGCCUCAAAUUUUAACUUACAAAAGAUAAGCGUACAUAAAUUAAACAUCUGAUAGAAAAUUUGAAUAAAUGUGAAAGUUUGGCAUUGUGUGCUGCAGCGGUUAUUUUAAUUUUAAGUUGAAAUUGAUAUGUAAAUUUCCCUUUAAGAGAAAUAAAGGUUGUUUGAGUCGUAAGAAUUUUUGGGUAUUCAUGACACCCUUAAAAUUAGUGCUAUGUAUGGAUUCGCCAUCCAUAUAAAAACGUGACUUAAGCUAACAUGAAUAAUUUUUAAAGAUUAAUUUUGAUAUAAAUUGAAAAACUUAAUAGGUAAUCAAAAUGUUGUAGAGUAUAAUUAUACACUUUGUUUAAAACUUGUCUAAAAUAAGAACUAAAGCAGUUAAGAAGUAGUUGAUAAAAAAAGUAUUUAAGUCAUGUACUUUGAGGGUAUGACUCACGAUAGAAUUUGGAGUCGGAGCAAACUACCAAAGAAAACGGGCAUACGCCGAAAAAUGGGUAUGACACCGAGGUAGAUUUGGAGUUCGAGCAAACUAUCAAGAAUGUGGGCUUAUCACCUAGUAAUUUGAUUAAAUACAUAGAGGAUAAAAACUGCUUAAACAUAAAAAAUAAAAAUAAACGUAGAACGACAUUAUGCCUGUUAAAUAAACCAACACAGCAGUUGAAAGAAAAAAAAAUAGAAUCUUUCUUCAAAAUAAAAAGCUUUGAAAAAUCUUGUCCUUUGAAAAGCGUUUUAAAAUAUAAGUAGUUAGAUCGUCAUUUACUUAAAACAAUAAAGUUUAACUUAAUGAAAAAUUGAUAAUGCUAAAUAAACUGACAAAUAAAAUUGCGGGAGCAAUUUUUUUCGAACAACAGGG